CCCUCCGCCCUCAGCCGCCCCUCCUCCGGCCGCCCUGGGGGGCUCCUCCUCUGCUCCCCGCUGCCCGACCUCACCCUCUUCCCUCCCGCGCCGCUGCUCCUCCUCCCGCGGCCUCCUCCUCCGCGCGCUCCUCCCGCUUCCCUCCCGCUCCACCCCCUCCACCGGCCUCGGGAAACCGCACGCGGGCCAGGAUGGGCGCCGCCGCGUCCGCCCGCCCCCGGGCCACCGCGGACAGGAAGGAGGGCGGGGAGGACGGCGCCCCACGCGGGCUGAUUCCUGGGACCGAAACAAUUCCCGGCGGGGAGGGCGGUCACCUCGCUUGACCCCUUCCCGGGCCGGGGAUGUUUGGGGUCUUCCCCUCUGCGCACGUGGAGGUCGGGGACUCAGCCCUGGGGUUCCCGAUCCCCCAAGCUGGUCCUGGGAAGCUGGUGACACUGAAGGCCCAGAGUUGAAGCUGUGUCUUGCUCCAGAUCCCCCAGCUCCUGCAGUGCUCCAGGCCCUGGAGAAUGUCACAGAUCAGGGCACAGAUCUAUCACAAAUCCUGAAUGGGGCUGGAGCAUAUUGGAGUGAAACCAAACUCUAUGGAGAGGGGUGAGAAGAGCGGGAGAAACACGUCCACCACACGUCAAAGGACUCACAGAAGGAAAGACAAGAGCAACAACCCUGAGAUGGUUGUUAUAUAUCAGUGAUUCUAAGCUGGGACAGGAGCAAUUGUGUCCCCCAGGGAACAUCUGGAAAUGUCUGGAGACAUUUUGCUUGUCACAGCUGGGAGAGGAGUUCUACUGGCAUCCAGCAGUAUAUACUCACCUUUGAAUAACCAAGUCUAGAUGUUUUAAAGGAGUGAUGGAAUUAGGAUUAAAAUAAAGGAAUAGAACUUCCAAGGAUUGACUGGAUUUCAGCUGUGAGCAUAAAUGUCUGCCAACAUCACAAAAGAGGGAUGGCCAGACCUGAUGUGUUUCCAUGGACAGACACAGCACUUGUGAUGCAGUCUCGCGAAAAAGUCCAACCUGAAUGGGAUCAAAGCCUGUGAAUCUGAUUACCAGCUUCCAGGAAAUACAGACAACAGUGGUCCUCACGGUCCCCAAAACUGACACUUACUAUCUGCCCCUUUGCAGAAAACAUUUGGUGACUCCUGGGCUGGAUCAGAACUUGAAAACCACUUUCUCUUUUUCUGCCAUGUGAGGAUACAGUGGGAAGUUGGCAGUCUGUAACCCGGAAGAGGGUUGGAAGUCUGGUCUCAGACUUCCAGCCUCCAGAACUGUGAGGGACACAUGUCAGGUUGUUUAUAAGUUACCCAGUCUAUGGUACUUUAUUAUAGCAGCCCAAAUGAAUGAAGACACCAGGAUUUGUCUGUUGCUGUCUCUCAUAGUACUACACCGUUUCCCUUAAUAGCCCCCAUCAAGUUUGUACUUGUGCUUAUUUGUGUGAUUUUUGCCUCCCAGGGACAUUUAGCAAUGUCUGGAGACAUUUUUGAUUGUCAAGACUAGGGAGGUGGGAGGGGCGGUGUUACUGGAAUCCAGUGGGCAGAGGCCACUGAUUGUAGGCUGCUCAGCCUCAUACAGAGCGCUGGACGACAAGACUUAUCCAGCCCAAAAUGUCAACAGUAUUGAGCCUGAGAAACCCUGGGCAAGAAGCAACAGAGGGAAAAAAAACAUGUUUUAUUCUUCACAAUAUAUCUGCAAAGAGCAGAUAAGAUAUAUUUGCUGAAUGAAUACGGUAUUAUCUUGUUAAUCAUAUACAUCACGUCUUCUUGUCAAUCAAAUAACCUCAAAAUCUGUGACCACAGCUUAGA
Molecule: long non-coding RNA, 1792 nt
Organism: Cynocephalus volans (Philippine flying lemur)
Lineage: Eukaryota; Metazoa; Chordata; Mammalia; Dermoptera; Cynocephalidae
Exons: 5
Source: RefSeq, a predicted model, not a curated record